Molecule: ribosomal RNA, 433 nt
Filed under: uncultured bacterium
Lineage: Bacteria
Description: partial 16S ribosomal RNA
Rfam family: Bacterial small subunit ribosomal RNA
Source: RNAcentral
AACGAACGCUGGCGGCAUGCCUAACACAUGCAAGUCGAACGAGACCUUCGGGUCUAGUGGCGCACGGGUGCGUAACGCGUGGGAACCUGCCCUUAGGUUCGGAAUAACUCCCAGAAAGGGGUGCUAAUACCGGAUAAUGUCUUCGGACCAAAGAUUUAUCGCCUUUGGAUGGGCCCGCGUUGGAUUAGCUAGUUGGUAGGGUAAAAGCCUACCAAGGCGACGAUCCAUAGCUGGUCUGAGAGGAUGAUCAGCCACACUGGGACUGAGACACGGCCCAGACUCCUACGGGAGGCAGCAGUGGGGAAUAUUGGACAAUGGGCGAAAGCCUGAUCCAGCAAUGCCGCGUGAGUGAUGAAGGCCUUAGGGUUGUAAAGCUCUUUUACCCGGGAUGAUAAUGACAGUACCGGGAGAAUAAGCGCCGGCUAACUCCGUG